AAAUUUGGAUUAAUGCCCCAUGGUAUGUAUUAGCGGCAUCGCUUAUACAUUAAAGGCUACGGUACAGGAUGACUAUGCGUCCCAUUAGUUAGUUGGUAAGGUAACGGCUUACCAAGGCAGCGAUGGGUAGGGGCCCUGAGAGGGGGAUCCCCCACACUGGUACUGAGACACGGACCAGACUCCUACGGGAGGCAGCAGUGAGGAAUAUUGGACAAUGGGCGGGAGCCUGAUCCAGCCAUGCCGCGUGCAGGAAGACGGUCCUAUGGAUUGUAAACUGCUUUUGUACGGGAAGAACAAGGGGCACGUGUGCCCCUCUGACGGUACCGUAAGAAUAAGGAUCGGGUAACUCCGUGCCAGCAGCCGCGGUAAUACGGAGGAUCCGAGCGUUAUCCGGAAUCAUUGGGUUUAAAGGGUCCGUAGGCGGGCCAUUAAGUCAGGGGUGAAAGUCUGCGGCUCAACCGUAGAAUUGCCCUUGAUACUGGUGGUCUUGAGUUAUGGUGAAGUAACUAGAAUAUGUAGUGUAGCGGUGAAAUGCAUAGAUAUUACAUAGAAUACCGAUUGCGAAGGCAGGUUACUAACCAUAUACUGACGCUGAUGGACGAAAGCGUGGGGAGCGAACAGGAUUAGAUACCCUGGUAGUCCACGCCGUAAACGAUGGAUACUAGCUGUCCGGAUGCAAAUCUGGGCGG
RNAcentral lists this ribosomal RNA (689 nucleotides) under Arenibacter sp. SRO_174. RNAcentral describes it as "bacterial SSU rRNA". It matches the Rfam family "Bacterial small subunit ribosomal RNA", at positions 154 to 846 of the family's 1533-position model. Lineage: Bacteria; Pseudomonadati; Bacteroidota; Flavobacteriia; Flavobacteriales; Flavobacteriaceae. The record is from RNAcentral.